GAUGAACGCUGGCGGCGUGCUUAACACAUGCAAGUCGAACGGGAAACCUUUUAAUGAAGCUUCGGCAGAUUUAGCUGGUUUCUAGUGGCGGCCGGGUGAGUAACGCGUGGGUAACCUGCCUUAUACAGGGGGAUAACAGUCAGAAAUGACUGCUAAUACCGCAUAAGCGCACAGGACCGCAUGGUCCGGUGUGAAAAACUCCGGUGGUAUAAGAUGGACCCGCGUUGGAUUAGCUUGUUGGUGGGGUAACGGCUCACCAAGGCGACGAUCCAUAGCCGGCCUGAGAGGGUGAACGGCCACAUUGGGACUGAGACACGGCCCAGACUCCUACGGGAGGCAGCAGUGGGGAAUAUUGCACAAUGGGGGAAACCCUGAUGCAGCGACGCCGCGUGAAGGAAGAAGUAUCUCGGUAUGUAAACUUCUAUCAGCAGGGAAGAUAGUGACGGUACCUGACGAAGAAGCCCCGGCUAACUACGUG
Molecule: ribosomal RNA, 478 nt
Filed under: uncultured bacterium
Lineage: Bacteria
Description: partial 16S ribosomal RNA
Rfam family: Bacterial small subunit ribosomal RNA
Source: RNAcentral